Molecule: ribosomal RNA, 554 nt
Filed under: uncultured bacterium
Lineage: Bacteria
Description: bacterial SSU rRNA
Rfam family: Bacterial small subunit ribosomal RNA
Source: RNAcentral
AAUAGAUACCCGGGUAGUCCACGCCGUAAACGAUGGAUGCUAGCUGUUAUGCGUAUCGACCCGUGUAGUAGCGAAGCUAACGCGUUAAGCAUCCCGCCUGGGGAGUACGAACGCAAGUUUAAAACUCAAAGGAAUUGACGGGGACCCGCACAAGCGGUGGAGCGUGUUCUUUAAUUCGAGGCUAAGCGAAGAACCUUACCAGGGCUUGACAUCCUUGGAAUUUCUCCGAAAGGAGAGAGUACUUUAUUGGACCAAGUGACAGGUGCUGCAUGGCCGUCGUCAGCUCGUGUCGUGAGAUGUUUGGUUAAGUCCAUUAACGAGCGCAACCCUUAUGAAUAGUUGUAUUUUUCUAUUCAGACUGCCCCGGUAACGGGGAGGAAGGGGGGGAUGAUGUCAGGUCAGUAUUGCCCUUACGCCCUGGGCUAGAAACGCGCUACAAUGGCCGGUACAAUGCGCUGCCAACCCGCGAGGGGGAGCAAAUCGCAUCAAAGCCGGUCCCAGUUCGGAUAAGAGGCUGAAACUCGCCUCUUGAAGCCGGAAUCGCUAGUAAUCGU